CAAAUCAAAGUAUGGGGAGUAGUUGGGUUAGUUUAUUAGGCAGCUUUGCUUGGUAGGCUGGCACCGCUGCACCCAUACACAUUGGCACAGGGCCGAAAGGCUCUGAUGUUUACGCUUGUUUGUUUGACAGAUUUAUUGAGACUAAAAUAUAGA
Molecule: unclassified non-coding RNA, 153 nt
Filed under: uncultured Rozellomycota
Lineage: Eukaryota; Fungi; Rozellomycota
Description: uncultured Cryptomycota sequence contains ITS1
Source: RNAcentral